RNAcentral lists this transfer RNA (71 nucleotides) under Ictidomys tridecemlineatus (thirteen-lined ground squirrel). Its description in RNAcentral is "Spermophilus tridecemlineatus (thirteen-lined ground squirrel) tRNA". It matches the Rfam family "tRNA". From Rfam's summary of the family: Transfer RNA (tRNA) molecules are approximately 80 nucleotides in length. Their secondary structure includes four short double-helical elements and three loops (D, anti-codon, and T loops). The record is from Rfam by way of RNAcentral. Lineage: Eukaryota; Metazoa; Chordata; Mammalia; Rodentia; Sciuridae.
UGGGGUGAAGCUCAAUGGUAGAGCGAUUGCCUAGCAUGCAGAAGGCCCUGAGUUUAAUUCCAGCGGCUCAA